RNAcentral lists this ribosomal RNA (472 nucleotides) under uncultured bacterium. RNAcentral's name for it is "bacterial SSU rRNA". It matches the Rfam family "Bacterial small subunit ribosomal RNA", at positions 355 to 825 of the family's 1533-position model. The record is from RNAcentral.
UGGGGAAUAUUGGACAAUGGGCGAAAGCCUGAUCCAGCAAUGCCGCGUGCAGGAAGAAGGCCUUCGGGUUGUAAACUGCUUUUGUACGGAACGAAAAGGCUCUUUCUAAUAAAGAGGGCCCAUGACGGUACCGUAAGAAUAAGCACCGGCUAACUACGUGCCAGCAGCCGCGGUAAUACGUAGGGUGCAAGCGUUAAUCGGAAUUACUGGGCGUAAAGCGUGCGCAGGCGGUUAUGCAAGACAGAUGUGAAAUCCCCGGGCUCAACCUGGGAACUGCAUUUGUGACUGUAUAGCUAGAGUACGGUAGAGGGGGAUGGAAUUCCGCGUGUAGCAGCGAAAUGCGUAGAUAUGCGGAGGAACACCGAUGGCGAAGGCAAUCCCCUGGACCUGUACUGACGCUCAUGCACGAAAGCGUGGGGAGCAAACAGGAUUAGAUACCCCGGUAGUCCCUGAGCGGGCUGGCAAGGCGCAU